This 465-nucleotide ribosomal RNA is filed under the name Vreelandella stevensii. Its description in RNAcentral is "partial 16S ribosomal RNA". It matches the Rfam family "Bacterial small subunit ribosomal RNA", at positions 338 to 795 of the family's 1533-position model. Lineage: Bacteria; Pseudomonadati; Pseudomonadota; Gammaproteobacteria; Oceanospirillales; Halomonadaceae. The record is from RNAcentral.
CCUACGGGGGGCUGCAGUGGGGAAUAUUGGACAAUGGGGGGAACCCUGAUCCAGCCGUGCCGCGUGUGUGAAGAAGGCCCUCGGGUUGUAAAGCACUUUCAGUGAGGAAGAACGCCUGGUGGUUAAUACCCAUCAGGAAAGACAUCACUCACAGAAGAAGCACCGGCUAACUCCGUGCCAGCAGCCGCGGUAAUACGGAGGGUGCGAGCGUUAAUCGGAAUUACUGGGCGUAAAGCGCGCGUAGGUGGCUUGAUAAGCCGGUUGUGAAAGCCCCGGGCUCAACCUGGGAACGGCAUCCGGAACUGUCAAGCUAGAGUGCAGGAGAGGAAGGUAGAAUUCCCGGUGUAGCGGUGAAAUGCGUAGAGAUCGGGAGGAAUACCAGUGGCGAAGGCGGCCUUCUGGACUGACACUGACACUGAGGUGCGAAAGCGUGGGUAGCAAACAGGAUUAGAUACCCUUGUAGUC